Molecule: long non-coding RNA, 328 nt
Filed under: Mytilus galloprovincialis (Mediterranean mussel)
Lineage: Eukaryota; Metazoa; Mollusca; Bivalvia; Mytilida; Mytilidae
Source: RNAcentral
ACGUUCCAUAAAGAAAAACGUUGCUAAGCGCAAACGUAAACACGACCUUGGAGACGUUCUUGUGAGACCGAGAUAUUUGAUCGCAUCGUCCAAAAUCUUUUUUUGUUGCGGAAUUUGCCUAUACAAAGAAUAUGAUAACAUACCAAUGAUACUAUUGAUUAUAACUGUAUGUAUAUUCACUCUUAAAUACGGUAAAUCCUUUGUAACGUUCUAUCUCACUCAAGAUAACUUUAUAGCUUUGAAUGCUUUCAAGUAAUGGAUACCGGUCGUAUUUUAACCAAAAGAACUGAAACGUUGUAAAAUCAUGAUAUAACCUUUUGAUUUUGUC